This is a long non-coding RNA of Ictalurus punctatus (channel catfish), 1873 nucleotides long. Lineage: Eukaryota; Metazoa; Chordata; Actinopteri; Siluriformes; Ictaluridae. The record is from Ensembl.
UUGUAUGUCUAUAACCAUGUUUAUUCAUGAAUUUAUUUUGACCACAUUCAUGAUUACAAUGAUAUCAAAAGCCUAUUGGAUAAAAGAGUACACUGACUACAAUCACAGGGUAUACUGAAGCGGAACUGUUGUGUAUACUAAUACUAGCUAUUCUAUUUAAUACAACAAACAUGCCUCCAAACAUUUCAUACACACACACACACACACACACACACACACACACUAGUUUAACACAAGCACUAUGACACUGUAUUCUGUCAUCUGUAUUAAAAUUAAUUGCAUGCCUCUGACUGACAGAUUGGUUCAUGCUUACUUUACUAAUGCUAUUUUUAAGCUUUGUGAGUGAGAACAGGUUGAUUAUUAAUACAAUAAUCCAUUAUUAAUAGCCUAUUCAGUAUUUCUUUGCUAUAAGUUGUCGAUGUAAUGCUUAAUAAUGAGCUCUUGUAUUAUAAAGGACUAUCAUGCAUAAGGUCCUGUGUAAACAUGUAGGUGGGAAUAUUAGGCACCCUGCUUGUCUGAAAAAAAAAUUAAAAAUAAAAUAAAAAAAUUAAAAUAUAAAUAAAUAAAUAAAUAAAUAAAUAAAUAAAUAAAUAAAUAAAUAAAAAUAAUAAUAAUAAUUCCCUACAUUUAUAUAGUGCUUUUCUAGACACUCAAAGCGCUUUUACAUUGUAUGAGGGGAAAUCUCCUCAACCACCAAUAGCAACAGCACACGUUUGUGAUAUUGGUGGAGAGGAGUGUGAUGUAGCCAGUUAAGGGACGGACGAAGGUAAGACCUUUUGCAAGUUAAAUUCGUAAUUAUCGAGGAUCAGGUCCUUUACUUUCUUCUUAAGAUCGCUGAAAUAGUAUUCCACCUCUUUUAGCUGGCUGCAGUUGUUGAACAUGUAGUCAACAUAUUCUUCUGAUGAAACACUGGCUGGAUAAUCGUAAAAACGCGCAGGUGGAGUUACCCUUUCAAGCUCCUUGUCCGCAACUUUCCACUGCUCUACGGGUUCUUCUGGCUGACCAUAAUUGCCAUCAUAUCGAUGGGUAAACCAAGGUUGGUAAAUUGAGAUGGUUGAUUUUUUGUAGGUCUUGUACUGCUUCAUCAGCUCCUCUAAGUCGAAUUGGUAGCCGUCAAGCACAGUGUUGAUGGAAGUCAGGUAGACAUGAAGUUGUGCCUUGCGUUCUGUGGUGCGUUGUAUCUUCAUUCUCGCUGCAUGGAUGAGCAUCUGCAGAUGGAAAGCUGCGCCAUUGGCCCAGUGCUUCAGGGCGCGGGAGCUCAUUUGGUUAUCGUGCAGCAUGGAGUUUCUCAGACGGGUCAGCUGUUCACUCAGCUGUUUCUCCAGGCGUUCGGUCUCCUCUAUUGCUCGGGUCGGUUGCUGUAGAUUCAUACGUAGACGUUUCAAGUACUCGUCCAUCGAGUCUCUCACACUUGAAGCCUUUUCCUCAGCGAACACACGGCGCAUCAUGUCCAGUGUGCUGUGUUUACUCUCCGUUUCCUCCUGUAGACCCCUAAUUAUGAGCUCCAGGGCUAUGGACAGGACCAAUCCGCCUAAACCCACCGCGUUUGGUACACGUUUAAAACCAGUUAAAAUAGAACCCAGACUUUCCACAUAGUCCGGAGUCUUGCUGCUCAUGUGUUCUAGUACAUGGGUGACGGAGCUCUCUAGCUCAGCUGCUGAGUUUAAUCCGGAGUACUUCACCAAAGAGCCAUCGAUACCAAUAUCAGGUAUUAAAUCAGCUGACUCAGCAGUUGUUAACAUCCGUCUGCAAAAAAUGAUUCUAUGUACUUUACAUUGAGUGUUUCCCAUCGCGUUUCCCAUCCCAUCAACAGCACCACGGUAAAAACUAUAAAUCUUUAUGUUCUGAAGGAACCCAGAAACGUAUUAAGCGC